Molecule: ribosomal RNA, 468 nt
Filed under: uncultured bacterium
Lineage: Bacteria
Description: partial 16S ribosomal RNA
Rfam family: Bacterial small subunit ribosomal RNA
Source: RNAcentral
GACGAACGCUGGCGGCGUGCUUAACACAUGCAAGUCGAACGGAAAGGCCCUGCUUUUUUGUGGUGCCCGAGUGGCGAACGGGUGAGUAACACGUGAGUAACCUGCCUUUGACUUUGGGACAACUUCAGGAAACUGGGGCUAAUACCGGAUAGGAGCUGCUGCUGCAUGGUGGGGUUCGGAAAGCUUCGGCGGUUGGGGAUGGACUCGGGGGUUAUUAGCUUGUUGGUUGGGUAGUGGCUUACCAAGGCUUUGACUGGUAGCCGGCCUGAGAGGGUGACCGGGCACAUGGGGACUGAGAUACAGGCCAGACUCCUACAGGAGGCAGCAGUGGGGAGUAUUGCACAAUGGGCGGAAGCCGGAUGCAAAGGCGUCGAGAGAGGAAUGACGGCCUUCGGGUUGUAAACCGCAUUCAGCUGUGACGAAGCGUGAGUGACGGUAAUAAGUGAAGAAGCACCGGCUAACUACGUG